CUUUGUGCGGGUGGUAAAUAACCCAGCGCAAAGUUAGCAAGUUGCAGCUCCGGCAUCCUGACUCCAUGGAACUUUUUUGUGGGGAGAAGGGCAGGAUGUUUUUAACAGAAUGUGAGCGCCCCGGAGCCCUGGAGAAAGCAAUCCCAUCUCUGAAUGGGGCCGUGUGGAGAAACCCGAAGAGAAACAGCAUAAGAGCCUUUUGGAAUAUAUCCCGGAAAAGAUAAUUUUCUACACAUCUGCAGCGUUUCUCCGGGUAAAGAGCUGGGUUCCAGUGGGGUUUAGAAUCACAAACCGGGAAACAGGAGGCGCCAGUGGCUGAUGGCUCAAGCACCAUAUCUUAAUGGUCAUUCCCUUGCUCCAAAGGCUACUAGUUUGGUGGUACAAUCAUACCCUCCAGUUUGGGGCUGGUUUGUAGUAACCGAGUGGGAAGAAUGAGUCUGUGGAGUCCUGGUUCUGCCUCCACCCUAAGUAAGUCGCUUAGCUUCGCUGAGAUUCAAACUAAAUUUUUUAACUUUUUUAUUUUUAUUGAAAUGUAGUUGAUUUACAAUGUUGUGUUAGGUUUAGGUGUACAGCAAAGUGAUUCAUAUGUAAAUAUAUAUGAAUAUUAUAUAUGUGUGUGUAUAUAUAUAUAUAGAUAUACAUACAUAUUCUUUUUUUACAUUCUCUUUCAUUGUAGGUUAUUCCAAUAUACUGAGUAUAGUUUCCUGCAUUAUAUAGUAGGUUCUGGUUGGCUAUCUAUUUUAUAUAAAGUAGUGUAUGUAUUUUAAACCCAAACUCCUUGAAAUUCAGACUUUACAUCUGUAAGAUAUAUAAAAAUUGGCAGAAGUUGUUGCGGGUGCUCAUUAUACAGAGAAUUUUGUAAAUGUUGGGUUUUCUGAGUUUGUGUUUGUUCUUCCAUCAUCAUAUUUUUCUGCGCAUGUGUGAAAAAAAUGCCUGAAGGCAGGUUCUACGGGAGUAAAUGACACUUGAAGAAAUGUAAAGCCGUAGAUGCUAUAGGUGGAGGAUGACAACACUUUGGGACAAUUGCAUCACCACCACUGCCACAGCCUUGAGAAGAAAAGAUCAUUAACUCACUUAACAAGCCAUCAAGUGUCUGAUGAUAUCUCUCAACUGAGUGAAAAGUGCCUGUUGGGAGAUUUGGUCAGAACGACAACAGAACAUUGGAAAUGCCUUCCUUUCCUCUUCACGAGUCCAUCUGUUACUUCUUUCCGUGUCUGAAGGGCUUCGACACAAAUUGGUGUUUCCAGGUUCUCUUCUGGCACAUGAAUCUACCGUGCACAUGUGUUUGAACUCAGCAGUCCCGGAGGGGGGAUUUUGAAGGACCUUGGACCCUGGUCCUCAGACUUGGUCGAGCUCACCCAGGAGCAGGGUCCUUCUCCUUUUUUGGUCUUGUGAAAUCUUCUUUGAUUUCCUCAUCCCAGUGUCUUUUUGAUCUGGGCCAGGCUACGAGAGCAUACGAAGAGAGAGAGGCAAAGGCUAGCAGUUAAAGAAGAAAUGGCUGUGUGGAGGGACCAUGCAAUGACAAGGGCGUAUCACCUAAUUGUCAAUGAGUCUUUGCUUCAGUCCUUGUUUGACAAGCUUAGUGAAGAGUGGAGAUUGUCUGCAACUACAGUCGAAAGACCAGGUUCUUGUGUUGAAUAAUAAUGUCCACAUCUCUGUACAGGUGUGAUGAAAGGUGAAGGCUCGACAGAAAGGAUGUGAUCUCUGAGGCCAACAGCCUGCAGCUUGUCAGGAUCUUGAAGAAACAUGGCAGCCUCUCUCAUGUUGUGGCCUUGGCCAAUGAUCUCUUUAAUGCCCCAUUUUGCAGAGCAAUCUUUGCACGCACAUGCUUAAAGCACGGAUCAAGACUAGCUCUGCUUUGAUUAAACUGGGUCAUGGUUGCCAUAAAAGUUCUGAAAUUACAGAAAAACUACAUACACGCACACGAAUAAUAUCCACCAUGAUAACUUGUAGAAUGAAUAUUGAUAUAACCCUAAGGGGAAAAAAGCACUUGAAUUCUUCUGCUUUUCUGGGUUUUAACCAAGCUGAGGGCUGGGAGGGGCCCUUUUUUUGUCUUUCUCAUGUAGCUGAGGCUCAUGGCAUGUGCUUAGUAAGUGUUGAAUGUAUGAAUGAAAAAGCAAUGCUCGCUGAAAUGUUAACAAGCAAAUUCUGAUCUCACCGUAAGAGCAGAGUACCUUGCCAAUUUAACCGCAGCACAGUUAAAAAUACGGGGCCUGGAGCUGUCCAUGGUGGGAGCAAUUCAAACCAACCUGAUAUAAUUGUUAUUAAUGACCAGGCUGAGCAUGACACAGAGAUAAAAGGAAAUAGCUUGGAAGAGAGCCCUAAAUAAUCCGAAAAUGAGCUAAUCCACCAGGAAAAUGUGGAAUCGCUGUCUACACUCUUUAACACACAGCCUCAAAAUAUACAAAACAAAAGACAGAACAUGAACGCAAAGGAGAUAGGUCUCACUGUGGGAAAGGAACAGGUGUCUCAGGAACAGACAGGGUCUGGGGUUUUGGGGGAAGAGAAGCUUGGGCUGAGGUGGCGGGUGAGGGUCUUGGUGUCAAAGAAAACAAGUGCAAAGAUGAGUCUUCACGGUGGUCUGUGUGCUGCUGGCUCCAAGUGCUGAAAGGAACAGCCUGUGCCACCUACCAAAUACUUUCAGUCUGAAUAACUCAAGUUUAAAGCCGUGCAUCAAGGAUUGCUUGCAUUCCUAGCAAAGCACACAGAAGGGCACUGAAAAAUUAUAUUUUCAGAAUUCGCAGGGGUGGGGGAAUGGGCUACAUAGUAACACCCAACAGGAACUGAACUCUUCCUGUGUGUGUGCCAGGCAUUGUCCUAAGUAUUAACUCACUUAAUUCCACAACAAUCCUAUGUUUAUAAGCCAGGUUUCACCAAGGUUGUGGAACUUUAUAGAUGAGGAAGUGAAGGCAAACAGAAGGUAAGUUUGCCUAAUGACACAAACUGAUAGGGAUGGCAUUUGCAUGAAGCACCCUGGCCGCAGCAGCUUGGUGUCAGUCAGGUAUUUCGUGGUUGACUUGACUUCAGGCAAACCUGCUCGAUAACCACGAUUUUACCCACUUUUAAGAAUAUGGUAGCCUGCAUUAUUUAUAUUUAUGCAAUAUACCUCCCAUACCGACAUGGAGAUUUAAUUCUCAAUUGUCUGAGAAAUGGCAUCACAUUAUAUGGAAAGGACCAUUAAUGCAUCUGCUGAUUGGUUUGAACUGACUGGGAAAACAUUCCAAAUUCAUACUCACAACUCAAUUGAAUAGGCAUGAAAUAAAAUCUGACUUUUAUAGUCUUCUUCCUCUUUUGAUAAAUUAAAAGCUAGGUCUUAUUUUCAAAAUGCAGAACCAGAAUAUUGAUUCAAAGUGCAAAGAAUAUAAAUAGAAUUAACCUAAGACUGAAGCAAAACCUAUAGAAAAACCAUCUUCAGACCUUUUGGAUUUCAUCCUAAAAGAAAAGGAAAAAAAAAAAA
RNAcentral lists this long non-coding RNA (3457 nucleotides) under Sus scrofa (pig). Its description in RNAcentral is "lncRNA (ENSSSCG00045000055.1, ENSSSCG00055013557.1)". The record is from RNAcentral. Lineage: Eukaryota; Metazoa; Chordata; Mammalia; Artiodactyla; Suidae.